UACGGGGGGGGCAAGCGUUGUUCGGAAUUACUGGGCGUAAAGGGCUCGUAGGCGGUUCGUUCAGUCAGACGUGAAAUUCCUGGGCUCAACCUGGGGGCUGCGUUUGAUACGGGCGGGCUUGAGUUCGGAAGAGGGUCGUGGAAUUCCCAGUGUAGAGGUGAAAUUCGUAGAUAUUGGGAAGAACACCGGUGGCGAAGGCGGCGACCUGGUCCGAUACUGACGCUGAGGCGCGAAAGCGUGGGGAGCAAACAGG
RNAcentral lists this ribosomal RNA (253 nucleotides) under uncultured bacterium. Its description in RNAcentral is "partial 16S ribosomal RNA". It matches the Rfam family "Bacterial small subunit ribosomal RNA", at positions 524 to 776 of the family's 1533-position model. The record is from RNAcentral.